UACGAAGGGUGCAAGCGUUACUCGGAAUUACUGGGCGUAAAGCGUGCGUAGGUGGUUUGUUAAGUCUGAUGUGAAAGCCCUGGGCUCAACCUGGGAACUGCAUUGGAAACUGGCUUACUAGAGUGCGGUAGAGGGGUGUGGAAUUCCCGGUGUAGCAGUGAAAUGCGUAGAUAUCGGGAGGAACAUCUGUGGCGAAGGCGACACCCUGGACCAGCACUGACACUGAGGAGCGAAAGCCAGGGGAGCAAACGGG
This 253-nucleotide ribosomal RNA is filed under the name uncultured bacterium. Its description in RNAcentral is "partial 16S ribosomal RNA". It matches the Rfam family "Bacterial small subunit ribosomal RNA", at positions 524 to 776 of the family's 1533-position model. The record is from RNAcentral.